Molecule: long non-coding RNA, 674 nt
Filed under: Sus scrofa (pig)
Lineage: Eukaryota; Metazoa; Chordata; Mammalia; Artiodactyla; Suidae
Description: lncRNA (ENSSSCG00070000434.1)
Source: RNAcentral
GCCACCGCCGCCGCCGCCGCUGCUGCUGCUGCUCUGGGCUCGGGACGCAGGGCGGGCAGGCGGGCGCUCGGUGAGGCUCCAGCGCCUGCGGCUGCUGCUCUCCUCCGGCGCCCCCGGCUGCGGCGCUCUGGGUCCCAGCCCCCGGCCCAGCGGCCCUGGGCCCUCGCGCUCGUAUCCCCGGUCCCGCGUCCUACCCCAGAGAACGCUCUCCGCUGGCCGAGCCGUCCCGGGCUCGCGCCCCGGGGCCAUGCAGAGGGGCCCGUGAGGGGCGCGCGGAGGCGGUGUAAGAGGAGGGAGGAGGGAGGCCGAGGAGGAGGGCGCGGGAGGCGGAGGAUGCCGCCGCCGUCUCCGCCACCGCCGCCCGCCGGCCCCCGGCGAGCCUGACUCCAGACCCGAGGAUGGAGCCGGCGCUGGGCGCUGCAGCGGCUCCCGGUGCGCCCCGGACCAGGUAGCCAUUCUCCCCUCUCCGUGCGGUUGGAAGACCUCCUUUCCUGGCUGGCCCUGCCUGGCGGGCAUCAGUGUGUGGGCUGUCUCGACUGAGCUGCCCUUUCCGCCUGGAGAUCUGGGUCUGCCGCAGGGCUACGGCACAGGCUGUGACAGCUGGCUAGACCUGGAGGCUGUGGAUUCUCCAGCUUGGAACAGCCCCUCUUUGAUCUCACAUGGUGGAGACGCAG